CUUUUGACCUCGGAUCAGGUAGGGAUACCCGCUGAACUUAAGCAUAUCAAUAAGCGGAGGAAAAGAAACCAACAGGGAUUGCCCUAGUAACGGCGAGUGAAGCGGCAACAGCUCAAAUUUGAAAUCUGGCUCUUUUAGAGUCCGAGUUGUAAUUUGCAGAGGGCGCUUUGGCUUUGGCAGCGGUCCAAGUUCCUUGGAACAGGACGUCACAGAGGGUGAGAAUCCCGUACGUGGUCGCUGGCUAUUGCCGUGUAAAGCCCCUUCGACGAGUCGAGUUGUUUGGGAAUGCAGCUCUAAAUGGGAGGUACAUUUCUUCUAAAGCUAAAUAUUGGCCAGAGACCGAUAGCGCACAAGUAGAGUGAUCGAAAGAUGAAAAGCACUUUGGAAAGAGAGUCAAACAGCACGUGAAAUUGUUGAAAGGGAAGCGCUUGCAGCCAGACUUGCUUACAGUUGCUCAUCCGGGCUUUUGCCCGGUGCACUCUUCUGUAGGCAGGCCAGCAUCAGUUUGGGCGGUAGGAUAAAGGUCUCUGUCACGUACCUCUCCUUCGGGGAGGCCUUAUAGGGGAGACGACAUACUACCAGCCUGGACUGCAGG
Molecule: ribosomal RNA, 595 nt
Filed under: Alternaria sp. Utah 8
Lineage: Eukaryota; Fungi; Ascomycota; Dothideomycetes; Pleosporales; Pleosporaceae
Description: eukaryotic LSU rRNA
Rfam family: Eukaryotic large subunit ribosomal RNA
Source: RNAcentral